RNAcentral lists this long non-coding RNA (5331 nucleotides) under Eucalyptus grandis. RNAcentral describes it as "long non-coding RNA (EGRA_LNC005794)". Lineage: Eukaryota; Viridiplantae; Streptophyta; Magnoliopsida; Myrtales; Myrtaceae. The record is from RNAcentral.
GAAGACGAAAUGGUGGCAAUGCUUGGGGGUGAGAACUCGGUCGAUUUGAUCACGGUGGCCACUGCCGUCCAUUGGUUUGACAUCCCAAAGUUCUACUCUGUUGCCAAACGGGUCCUCCGCAAGCCCGGAGGCGUGAUCGCCGUUUGGACCUACACUGACAUGAUCGAAGUCAAUCCCAAAAUUGAACAUAUACUAAGACGUCUGCGCGAAGCCUCUAAGCCAUAUUGGAAGCCAGGAGUGCAGUACGUGUUUGAAGAGUAUCGAAACCUUCCAUUUCCGUUUGAGAGUGUGGGUUUAGGUUGCGAAGGACAACCUGUUCAGCUAGAAAUGCCGAGGGAAAUGAGUUUUGAGACGUUUCUGAGUUGCCAGAGGACCUCGUCAGCAGUAGCGACGGCUAAGCAGGAUGGUGUAGACCUGUUGACCGAUGAUGUCGUGAAAGAGUUUGAGACCGCUUGGGGCGGAUCGGAUUUGGUCAGAACUGUCAAGUUCAAGGUUUUUAUGCUUGCGGGAACAGUGAAAGCUUGAAUCUCACUUUCCCUUGGAACUUAAAUCAAUAAAUUAGGAUAUAUUAAUUACUUUUAUAUCAUAUCAAUUCUUUAAUAUGAGAUUUUCCUAAUAUAAUUCUAUAGAUAGAUUCUAUCAAUAGCCCUCGAGGGGGUAGGAAUGAUGUUGAAAGGACAACGUAUACGUUUGAGUGACGUCCUGAUGACAUUAUUCAUCGAUUGAAGAGCCAAUACGAGAGAGACGCGCAAGCUUUGCAAAUCCAAGUUUGCCACCUCCUUGUGUCUCCUUUUUCUUCUCCUUCGUUUCUUUUUCUUCUUCUCUCUAUUUAAACCGCAAAAAACGAGAGACCCCACAAGGGUUGUUGAAUCCAUACAGCUUGCGCGAGACGAUCGAAGGGGAUCCUGUGUGUGCGGUGAUCGUGAUUGUUUGCUGUGUUGUGUCGUACGAGAUGGCAAUGCAAAGCCCUUACGACCAGGUAACCAAGGGAUACGUCGCAACGCGGCCCCGGUAUCCCGACCAGUGGUUCUCCAAGCUCUCCGCUUUGACCUCCCGCCAUGCCUUGGCUUGGGACGCCGGCACUGGCAACGGCCAAGCCGCCAUCGCGGUCUCUCUCUCUCUCUCUCUCUCUCUCCUUCGAUGUCAGUGACAUGUUAGAAAUUCCGAUACUCAUUUUGAUGCUGAGAGCCGAGUUCACAAGCUCUCUUAACUAGUCUUCCUGGAAGUUCCCAACAAAAGAGAAGACAGAUUUUCAAGAAUCCAUAGACGGAACAGGUUGCCAAAUAAGGAUUUUUACAAGAACUGGGUUGUUCAUUUAGGAUUGGGCGUUGGGAUUACACGGUAGGUUCAUUAGGGCGAUAUGCCUCGAGUAGUAGCUGUGACUGAAAAAAAGAGAAAUUUUGGUUAAAUUCGGCGGUUCGCUUCGGUUUUUGACACUGAGGUUAUUCAGUAGUUCAUGCGUGCAAUUGGCCAUGCUCUCUGUCGUCGACUUAGAUGAAGAAUCUGUGCCGUAAGCAGCUCUUUCGUCGCAUUUACAGAGUUAAGGUGAUCACGACUCACAGGUUGUAGAACGAAAGAUCUUUAUUAAAAAGGACGCAUUUCCUGACUGGUUAGCAUUGGCAAACGGUUUGUCCAUCGAUCUUGAACUCAUGAAAUGACUAAAUCGACUUAGCAAUGAGGCGCACCUCUCAAUUUGUUUGGCAUCGUCGCCUGUUUUCACUGUCUGGUUGUCUGCACGGAGUCUCCAGACCAGUGUCUUUACUUUGUGUCUGCCCCUAGCUUUGGACAGCUCUUUGUUCAAUCUUUUGCAUCCUCGAUAACAAUUUUAGUCUCAAAGUACACGAACUGUCAUAAAGAGUUAACAGAAUUUCUAUCUUUGCAGGUCGCAGAACAUUAUGAGCGAGUGAUUGCGACUGACAUAAGUGAACCCAUGCUGAAGCAGGGGAUCCCACACCCUCGAGUUCAGUACUUACACACUCCGCCAUCCUUGUCCGAAGACGAAAUGGUGGCAAUGCUUGGGGGUGAGAACUCGGUCGAUUUGAUCACGGUGGCCACUGCCGUCCAUUGGUUUGACAUCCCAAAGUUCUACUCUGUUGCCAAACGGGUCCUCCGCAAGCCCGGAGGCGUGAUCGCCGUUUGGACCUACACUGACAUGAUCGAAGUCAAUCCCGAAUUUGAACGUAUACUAAGACGUCUGCGCGAAGCCUGUAAGCCGUAUUGGAAGCCAGGAGCACAGUACUUCUUCGAAGAGUAUCGAAACCUUCCAUUUCCGUUUGAGAGUGUGGGUUUAGGUUGUGAAGGACAACCUGCUCAGCUAGAAAUGCCAAGGGAAAUGAGUUUUGAGACGUUGCUGAGUGUCCUGAGGACCGCGUCGGCAGUAGCGACGGCCAAGCAGCAUGGUGUGGACCUGUUGACCGAUGAUGUCGUGAAAGAGUUUGAGACUGCUUGGGGCGGAUCGGAUUUGGUCAGAACUGUCAAGUCCAAGGUUUUUAUGCUCGCCGGAACCGUGAAAGCUUAAAAGAUCUCUGUUUCUCGGUGCUUUGGGGAGCUCGUUACUGAUAAAAUCUUCCUAAAUUACGCCUCCAUUAAAUAAUGUUCCAGAGUUGGAGAACGUGCAUCAGCAGCAGCAUCUACUUGUAGAUGCCCCUCCUGAGCACAAACUUGUUGUGAGGUCAAUUUCUCCUGCAAUUGCAAUGACCUAAUGUUUGGAUUAAUAAUAUAUGCAGUUUACUUCCAAGUGCCAAGUUACCUUUCAAAUGAUGUUCGGGCAUAAAGCUUUCAUGACGUUUACCUUCUCAUGUGUAUUUAGAGUUCAUCAUUAAGUAGUCUCAGAGAAUUAUAUACGAGCCAGGGGAAGAUGAUUACAGCCACUACCGUUCCAGUAUCCCAUGAACAAUUAAUGGUCACAGAAAUCAGGUACCUAUCGCGGGAUGGAAUUGAAAAUUUCUAAAAUUUUUGCACAAAAUUGCAAAAGAAAAUCCUAUAAGUAACAGAGUUGCAGAUCAGCCAAGCACUUUCGUUCCAGGGACUGUAGAGCUUGAUUUUAAAAGGUCGGAAUCAAGUAGUAAACUGGCAUGUUUAAGAGGGAUACUCUUUUACUAUAUGAUCUUGCCAAUGAAAGCCAAACUUAAAGGUAAACAACCAGCUGGUGCCAAACAUAGUAGAAACAAUAAGCAAAAACUCUAAUGAUUUGCCUGAGUGUGUCAGUGAGACGCUUGAAUGCAUGUUCAAUGCUCACUGCUUUUCAUCUUUAAUGACCCUCAUAGUCUUUUGCAGACUCAUCGCAGAAACCCGUAGACAGACGACUAGACAGAAAAGGGAGGAGCAACAUAAGGCACAGCGCCAACUUCGCCUGUGCCAUUCUGCAUAGCGGCUAUGCUGGAGGCAGCACACAUGGAUCAGGCAAGGGUGGGACUAACAGCAAAUCGGAAUCAUCAUCUCCAAAAGGCGGUGCAGCUGUGAUCCCCAUGUAUGCUGGUUCUGCUGGUGCUAACAACCACCACCACCAAAGUGCCCUCCACGGUUCCAUAGCCCUGCACGAGUCCACGCUCUCACUGGAGCAGUACUGGCCCUCUGCUGUGUUUUCCUAUAGAAUGUUUGCAUUUGAUGGCGCAAAUUUCUCAAUAGAUCUUUGUGUACAUUGAGACAGUAACUUAAAACUCUGCAAUAAAUUCAAACGUUUAGCCUUUUCCCACUCUGAUUGGCACUCUUGUUUUCUGGACGGAUGAUUGCUUCAUGGUAAAUGACAAGAAAGAAGAAAUAUAUGGUGUAGCAUUAUUCUAAUGGAGGCAGGUAUGAAGCUGAGAAGAAAGCAUAUAUUCUGAUGAGAGAUAUGUAAGUGACGUCCCUGAUGACAUUAUUCAUUCAAAAGUUGAUAAGGAGAGGCGCAAGCUGUGAGUGACCGAGUUUGCCAUCUCUGUCUCUCUUCUUCUUCUUCUUUUCUUCUUCUUCUUCUUCUCUCUAUUUAAACUGCAAAAAAUGAGAGACCCAACAAGGUUAUUGAGUCCAUACAGCUUGCGCGAGUCGAUCCAAGGGGGACUCUGUGUGUGUGGUGAUCGUGAUUGUGUGCUGUGUUCUGUCGUACGAAAUGGCAAUGCAAGGUCCUUACGACCAGGUAGCCAAGGGAUACGUUGCCACGCGGCCCCAGUAUCCCAACGAGUGGUUCUCCAAGCUCUCCGCUUUGACCUCCCGCCAUGCCUUGGCUUGGGACGCCAGCACUGGCAACGGCCAAGCCGCCGUCGCGGUCUCUCUCUCUCUCUCUCUCUCUCUCUCUCUCUCUCUCUCUCUCUCUCUCUCACAUUAUCUGCCUGAUGCUGAGAGAUGAGUUCACUAGCUCUCUGAAUGUGUCUUCCUGGAAGAUCCAGAAAAAGAGGAGAAAGAUUUUCAUGAAUCCAUAGAUGGAUAAGGUUGCCUGGAUAAGGAAUUUCACAUGAACUGGGCUGUUCGUUUGGGAUUCAAUAUUGAGAUUACUCAGUAGGUUCAUUAGCGCGAUAUGCCAUUAGUAGUACCUGUGAUCAAAAAUAAGAAAUUUCGAGUAAAUUGGGUGGUACGCUUAGUUCAUACAUGCUAUAGGCCAUGUUCUCUGUUGUCAACUUAAAUGAAGUAUCUUUGGUGGUCACGGUUUGUACUACGAAAGAUCAUUAUCAAGGAGGAUGCAUUUCUGACUGUUUGCAUUGGCAAACGGUUUGUCCAACGAUCUUGAGCUCCUGAAUGAUCAAAUCGACUUAGCAAUGAGGCACCCCUCUCAAUUUGUUCGGGCCUUAUCGCCUGUUUUUGAUGUCUGGUUAUCUGCAUGGAGUCUCCAGACCAAUGUCUUUACUUUGUGUCUCCCCCUAGCUUUGAACACAAUUUUUGUUUGGAAUACAUGAACUGUCGUUAGAGAGUUAACAGGAAUUUCUUUCUUUUGCAGAUCGCAGAGCAUUAUGAGCGAGUGGUUGCAACUGACAUAAGUGAACCCAUGCUGAAGCAGGGGAUCCCACACCCUCGAGUUCAGUACCUAUACACGCCAUCAUCCUUGUCCGAAGACGAAACAGUGGCAAUGCUCGGGGGCGAGAACUCGGUCGAUUUGAUCACUGUGGCCACUGCCGUCCAUUGGUUCGACAUCCCAAAGUUCUACUCCAUUGCCAAACGGGUCCUCCGCAAGCCCGGAGGCGUGAUCGCCGUUUGGACCUACACUGACAUGAUCGGAGCCACUCCCGAAUUUGAACGUCUACUAAGACGUCUGCGCGAAGCCUGUAAGCCGUAUUGGAAGCCAGGAAUGCAGUACGUCUUCGAAGAGUAUCAAAACCUUCCAUUUCCGUUUGAGAGUGUGGGUUUAGGUUGUGAAGGACA